This 372-nucleotide long non-coding RNA is filed under the name Felis catus (domestic cat). RNAcentral's name for it is "lncRNA (ENSFCAG00000047308.1)". The record is from RNAcentral. Lineage: Eukaryota; Metazoa; Chordata; Mammalia; Carnivora; Felidae.
CUGAUGAGGCAAGUGAGGAUGGUUAUAGCAUUGUAUUGGUUAACACCGAACUCGCUUCCAUAGGUGAGCUAUGGCAAGAGCAGACAGUGUUUUCCAAAAUGAGGGAGAAGAAGAUGAGAACAGAAAGUUAUGGAUAGAAAUGAGAUAUCCAUGAAGGGACUAUUUGGUGCCAACGUGCUUACCGUAUUCAAAUCUAUCAUACAUGUCAGCACAAACCUGGCCAGUGUUACUGGGAAGUGAUGUCAGCAGGUCCAUUAACCCAGAAAGGCGAUUUUAUGAAGCUCUUCACUGGGCCUGAAGCCCAGGAGCAUGGAUGCAGAUGAGUGAAAUGGUGGCAAGAUGGACAGAAUAAAGCCUAGCAUACAAAAAACA